Molecule: ribosomal RNA, 300 nt
Filed under: uncultured Haloferula sp.
Lineage: Bacteria; Pseudomonadati; Verrucomicrobiota; Verrucomicrobiia; Verrucomicrobiales; Verrucomicrobiaceae
Description: bacterial SSU rRNA
Rfam family: Bacterial small subunit ribosomal RNA (bases 59-300)
Source: RNAcentral
GGGUAGUGCUUGAGGCUGGGUGGGGGAAGACGUAGGGUGGAGGGGUUGCCGGGAGGUGUUGGGCGGUGAGGGCUCGGAGGGGGAUUGUUGGGUAGGGUGGGGAAACCCUGGGCGUAGCCGUGGGCUUGCAGUGGAGACGGACAGACUAGGGGUAGGUAGGGGAGAAGGGAAGUCCCGGUGUGGCGGUGAAAUGCGCAGAUAUCGGGAGGAACACCGGUGGCGAAGGCGGUUCUCUGGGCCUUACCUGACGCUGAGGAGCGAAAGCGUGGGGAGCGAACAGGAUUAGAUACCCCAGUAGUC